GCCCGCCGACUUCCGGCCGGCAGGUGGGCGCGCGCCGCAUAACGAUCUUAUGCGCCGACGGUCGGCAGGCGGCGGCGGCGGCGGCGAGUGGAUGGAGGCCUCGGCCCCCGGCCGGCGGCGGCGGCGGCGGCAGGGCUGGCGGCGGGCCCCGGCCGCGGGCUCCCCGCUCACCUGGGCCGCGGUCGUCCUCCUGCUCUCCGCCUUCGUGGCGCGGGCGUCCCCGUCAGUUGGAUCUUUGAUUCGAUUACCAAGAGGUUUUCGCUUGACCCAAGAUAAGGUGAAAAUAGUGGGAUCAUCAAAUUUUCCAGUGAAAGUAUAUGUUAUGCUUCAUCAAAAGAGUCCACAUGUGUUAUGUGUUACGCCACGACUACGAAAUUCGGAAAUGAUAGAUCCAUCAUUCCAAUGGCAUGGGCCAAGAGGAAAAAUUAUUUCAGAGAACAGCACUGCACAAGUCACAUCCACAGGAAGCCUUAUAUUCCAGAACUUUGAGGAGGGCAUGAGUGGAGUGUACACAUGUUUCCUGGAGUAUAAACCGACUGUGGAAGAAAUUGUUAAAAAUCUUGAACUAAAAUAUGUUAUAUAUGCUUAUCGUGAGCCUCAUUAUUAUUACCAGUUCACAGCUCGAUAUCAUGCAGCUCCCUGCAAUAGUAUCUAUAACAUUUCUUUUGAGAAGAAACUUCUUCAGAUUUUAAGCAAAUUGGUUCUUGACCUUUCAUGUGAAGUUUCUUUACUGAAGUCAGAAUGCCAUCGUGUUAAGAUGCAAAGAGCUGGUUUGCAAAAUGAAUUGUUCUUUACAUUUUCAGUUUCAUCUCUAGACACUGAAAAAGGACCUAAGCCAUGUGCGGACCAUAGUUGUGAAUCUUCCAAAAGACUGUCUAAGUUUUUUUUACUGUGUCGAGGUGAUUUUUUUCCAGAUGCUAAAAAUCUUAUAGAGAGAUUUUUUAAUCAACAAGUAGAAGUUCUAGGCAGACGUGCAGAGCCAUUGCCUGAAAUAUACUAUAUUGAAGGUACUCUCCAAAUGGUUUGGAUUAAUCGCUGCUUUCCAGGGUACGGAAUGAAUAUACUGAAACAUCCAAAAUGUCCUGAAUGCUGUGUUUUAGGCCAUUACAAAUAAAGCUGCUAUGAACAUUCCUGUACAAGUCUUUGUGUGGACAUAUGUUUUCAGUUCUCCUGGGAAAAUACCUAUGACUGCGAUUGCUGGGUCAUACGUGAUCUGCAGCCCUGGGUCUUAUAACCCCCGUGAUGGAAACCAUUGCCUUCAAUGCAAUAGCAGCCUGGCGUUUGGAGCAAAAGCAUGCGUAUAGGCCAUGAGUUUGAGAGCUCUAGUGGUUUGUUAAACACAAAAGUAUAUUUUUGAAAUAUUAAUACAUAAUAAAUCACUAUUAUGCCAAAAUUAAAUAUAUUAGAUUUUACAAAAUACGGUGUCAUCAUUUUAAUUGAAACAUUGCGUGUCCAAAUGCUUUACGAAUGGAGCACCCACUGAUCUUUAUACACUAAUGCCAGAACUACGUAUGACUUCAGAAUAUUCCUUAGAUCACUGUUUUUUAAAAAGGGUUUCAAAUAUACUCUGUUGGUGUUAGCCCAGAAGAUUUUUCAGGAUUAUAUUAAAACAGCCCAUUCUCUUUUCAGUAUGUUGACUAAUCUCAGGCCACCAUAUUCUUCCGUAAUCAUUUUAAUUCUAGCUUGUUUCCUUCCUUUGAUUCUAUGAGGUUUUAUUUCUUCUAGUGUGACCUUUCAUAGUUGAAGGUCACUUUUUAAGAAGCCUGUGCAUCUUAUGGUUGCAACUUUUAGCCACUUCAGUGUAAGGCCAGGUCCCAGCAACUCGAUGGGUUUGUAAUGUAGUUCAGGGUGGCAGUCUUCCCCUUUUUGGUUUGGAGGCCUUUAAAUUACCUUUCUGACAUUUUAGAGUGGACUAACCAUUGUAUGUGCCUCAAUUAACCUUUCAACUUUCACAGUGUGGACAGAGAGAAAUUAGGCAGUUUCUUGCCCUGAUGACACCUCCAGGGAAAAGUACCAAACGAUCACCGUAUCUUUCAUUGCUUUCCUUUAUCAUUAAAGUGUUACAUCACAGAUACUUCUGCUGCCAGCGCCGCACCCCCUCUCACACUGGGGUGCUGUGUUUGAAUACGAAAAAUUACCCAAAACCUCAGGGCUUAAGUACCCGAAAAAUGCACGAGCAACUUACAGAAGUAGUAGUUUCUCAAUUGUUUUAUUGUUUCAUUUGCAUUUGUAACACUUUAUAUUCUCUUGGACAUUCCCUGGUUUUUUCCCUUCAUGUUUCCUUUCUUAAGAUAUAAACAUUUGUAAAUGGCAAAUAUACACAGGUGGGAUCUAGGCACAACUGUGCAUUGACAGGGAAAAAGUUUACUUGUAUCUAGGAUCUAUUUGACUUUUUAAAAUUGACCAGUAGUAAAUUAGUCUCUCGUUUGGUCAUGCUGUGGACAAAUAUUACCCUGGGAUUCUCACAUAAGUACAAAGGGAAGUGAAACGAUGUUUCUUUGUUAGCCUUGGUGAUCUUUUUUAAAAAAUUCCUUGUGACUCAUAAUCUUGACGUAAUUGUUUUCAUGUGUUUUUAGAGGUUUUUUUCUUUAAAAAUCUUUCUUUGCUGUAGUAAGUCACAUGUUUGCCAUUAUACUGUUUGGGUGGGCUAUGGUUCUUACAGUACAUGUCUUUUGUAACUAGUAAAAGACCUCCUAAGUCUCCAUCUCUAAAAGCAGUGCAGCCUGUAAAGCUUUCUGGAUUUCUUAAUUGUGUAAUAAGAUGAACUGAAAUACGUCUUCUUUAGUACUGCCUGAGUUUGGAUUAACUUUUUUCCUGGUAUUUAAAAAUGCUGAGGAACUUAACUUACGAAACAUUUUCCUGGGGAUGCACAGUAUCAGCUCAAUAGCUAGUCAGCCUGGGGAAGCAGAGCAGAGUUACAGUGGUGAUGCAAUACUGGAGACCGGAAUCCAGUCCAGGAGAGAAGGUGGUCUGGGAUAAGAGUAGACAGACAAUAGGGGAGUCGUGGGAGUGAGGCAUGGAAGUGUCCUAUGAGUGUAAAUACCUACUUCAGUAAUUAAGGUAACUGCUUCCUCUGUUAACAUAUAAUGUAGACUGUUGGAAAUUGUUUUAAGUGAUGACAGUGUGUAGGGUAAAAAUUACAAACUAAUCCCUGAGAGAGAUUAUUGUCAUAAUGCAGUUUCAAGUGUUUGUUAUUUUUGAAUAAUAUCUUACAUUUAUAUAAUGCCUUAAUUUUAACAAAGCAUUUUUUAACAUUAAAACAAUGUGAUGUUUACAUCAACCUGCAAAGCUAGGGCAAAUAUGAUUCCCAUUUUAUAUUUUAUUAAUCAGAUUUUUUUCUUACUGUAAGUGUGUAAAUGUGUAUUCAUUUGGCAAUAUGUAAAAAGAGCCUCAACAGGGUUGAUCCAGGAAUGUCACUUACAGGAAACUAUCUUAAGAAAGUAAAUCAGAAAUCAGGUGGAAUGUCAUGCCCAAUGGUAUUGACAUCCACAUUCUGUAUAACAAUGAAAAUGGAAUUAACAUCGAUGACCUACAAGAGUGAAGUGGUUGAAUAAAUUGUGCUAUUUCCAUAGGAUAGAAUGUUCUGUACUAUUCCUUAGAGUUUUGAAUCAAAUGAACAGUUGUUUUAUGUAACAGGAUCAUGUGGGAGGUUUUUUUGGUAUCCUCUGUUUCUCAAACUUCCUACAAAGAAACAAAUUACUUUCAAAAUCUUGGAAGCAAUAAACAUACUUGGAAAAAUUAAAAUAGUCACAAUUGGCAGAGGACAUUAUUGCUCACCUCUCCAGUAUGAGUUUGCUUCUGCCCUUCU
RNA transcript from Mirounga angustirostris (Northern elephant seal), 3808 nucleotides. It is a transcript of the gene named zona pellucida binding protein, with no coding region annotated. The record is from RefSeq and is a predicted model, not a curated record. Lineage: Eukaryota; Metazoa; Chordata; Mammalia; Carnivora; Phocidae. The transcript is spliced from 10 exons.